Molecule: ribosomal RNA, 385 nt
Filed under: uncultured eukaryote
Lineage: Eukaryota
Description: SSU rRNA
Rfam family: Eukaryotic small subunit ribosomal RNA
Source: RNAcentral
AGCUCCAAUAGCGUAUAUUAAAGUUGUUGCAGUUAAAAAGCUCGUAGUUGGAUUUCUGGGCCAAGCCGUCGGUCCGCCGCUGUGCGGUGCGUACUCGAUCGGUCUUGACUCAUCCUUGCAGGGAAGCGCAUUUCGGCAUUCAGUUGUCGGGGCGGGGAACUGCAUCUUUUACUGUGAAAAAUUAGAGUGUUUAAAGCAGGCAUUUUGCUGUGAAUACAUUAGCAUGGAAUAAUAACAUAGGACCUGGGUUCUAUUUUGUUGGUUGGAGACCAAGGUAAUGAUUAAUAGGGACAGUUGGGGGUAUUCAUAUUUAAUUGUCAGAGGUGAAAUUCUUGGAUUUAUGAAAGAUGAACUCAUGCGAAAGCAUUUACCAAGGAUGUUUUCA